Long non-coding RNA from Homo sapiens (human), 1334 nucleotides. Ensembl annotates it as non-coding transcript regulating alternative splicing. Its record names the gene NTRAS. NCBI's taxonomy places the organism in Eukaryota, Metazoa, Chordata, Mammalia, Primates, Hominidae. The record is from Ensembl.
UCAAAGUGUUUUAAAUUCAGUUAAUAAACCACUUAUUCCCUGGAAACAGCUCCUGUCAUGGCACAGCCCACUUCAGGAAAAGUUGUACCAGGCAGCCUGUGAGAACAUUUUCAAUAGAAAUGAGUGGACCAGGAACAAAUUUUAUUCCUACUCAAUGGCUGUGUUUUCUUUGGCAGAAGCUAGACCAAGUUUCACAUCACAGUUGAGAGGAGACGUGCAUAGGAACUGCGUCAUCUGGUUCCACACUCGCUCCAGUGAUGUUUGAGCCCCAGCAUAGAUCAGCAUGCCAGGAAGCAGCCCACCGGACCCACCCCUGAUCAUGGCACUGGACAUUGUUUUCCGUGCUUUUCUCAGGCUGGUUUCUGCCUGUCCCAACCCUGGCCAUGGCUGACAAGGGGCCCAGGGACACUGGAGCAGAGAGACCUGCUGGUCCUUGGGGUUUCUUGCAAGGUAGGACUCUACAUCCUCCCUUGGGAACUAAUUGAUCUGUCAGUAAAAUGUAAACUUCUGACUCCAUGGGUCUGUGAAUCAGCUGCCUCUAAAGGGAAAUAUCCCAGGAGUGAUGAAAACUUGAAGAUCGAGGAUUGGAUAUAAGCUCAGAGGUGAAGGAGGGAAAUUCCUCGGGUCAACUUUAGCGGACUGAUCCACGGGGUCUGCCAAGAGACAGGAGCUCGAGGGUUAAACCCAAGCACUCGGGAGUCAGAUGUAUGAAUCUGAAUCUCAGCCUCUCGGCUUGCUGUGUAAUCUCAGAGUGAAUCAUCUGUGAACACUUCCUGUGAACGUGUGACUAUGAUUAUGGAACACUCUGUUGCAUCAAGAUGGCCAGAGAUUGUCUCAGAGUCCAGGCAGUGGGAGGAGGGGGGAUUUGUUUCCUGGCUGGGUGGUCGUAGGGCAUCAAGGGAUGAGCAGCUUUGGUUGUCUGGGAUUUCAGCAGCUUGAGGGGAGCUGUAGGGCCCCAGAGCUGUCGCUGUGGCUGUGGUGUCAGAAAUGUAAGCAAGGUGCCUCCAUGGAGGUUAGCGAGGGUGCCCCUCUGAAUGCCGGGUGGAAUGCAACCUUUCGCAUGGAGGAGGCCCUCAGCAGCUGACCUCUGUCUUCCCUGUGUAGAGGGAGGGAGGCUGAGGCUGGGGCUGAGCGAGGGGUAAAGUAAGCCACGUGUCUCAUCAGCUAGCCUGCAGCAAGCACAGCCCUCUGGGAGGGCUGGUUCUAUCCUCCUCCUUGGUGUGAAAUCCAUCAAUCUAAUAGGGAUCCUUAUUUUCCCAGCCACCAAGUCACAAUGAGCAAUAAUCUCUUCUUGUUGGUGCAUAUAAAUUUGCUUCAUUCUUUUUUAAACAGCU